This is a long non-coding RNA of Canis lupus familiaris (dog), 1070 nucleotides long. RefSeq lists it as uncharacterized. The transcript is spliced from 3 exons. The record is from RefSeq and is a predicted model, not a curated record. NCBI's taxonomy places the organism in Eukaryota, Metazoa, Chordata, Mammalia, Carnivora, Canidae.
AUGGCAACGGCCCUGGCCGCCAGCGGGCUCGGACGCGGACCCGGGGGCAGGGCGGACCCGGCGGCCCGGGAGGGAAGGCGGAAGUGGAGCGAGGGCAAAAUGGCCGCGAAGACCACCUAACCGUGCUGUGGCUGUAAUCAGAAAAGCCCUGCAGACGGUGCCUCCACAAAGCCUGUCAGAAGAGGACACCUUGUCCUUGUCCAAGACAAAACACAUGUAACUCCCAACUCGGAGGAGGAAGAUGUGUGCCGUGGGAGGCUCCUUUCCAAUUUCUUUGGUAUCUACAUCUUCCUUUUCCCACUCAGCCUAUCAAACACAAUCUCUGAACUAUAUCCUACAUUUUGCAGCUUGUGACCUCUGGACUGCCUAACCUCGUUUUAACUAUUGAGCCACCCGACCAUGGAAGAAGGUCCCAAAUCCAGUGCCUUGGAGUAUCCCACCUAAAGUCACUGAUGAAAGAAAGUAGAUAACCUGUGUGUGCGGUCACUCACAGCACGUUGUAGAACUUGGACUGUGCACUCAUUAAAUAGAAUGAUUCAGAGUGUAUGUAUAUAAAGUUUAUGACCAAUGUCCCGUCUCCACCUGUUUACAAGCUUUCAGACACAUUCAGGAUCGAAAGAUUAAAGUUUGGGGGCAUAGGGACUGCAGAGUCUGAGGCAUGGGGUUUCUGGCUGGGGAGUGGGGUCGUGAACGUACUGGAGUCCCUGUCACAUAUCCAAGCACUAAGGGUUCUAAGGGCUUUGCAUGUAUUACCUCAUUUAAUUUUGUGAAGUUUUUUUUUUUUUUUUUUCAGAUUCAUUUGAAUCUCUCGGUGCUUACUCCUUUUGAGAUUUGUUUGAAUCCUUUAGUGUGUAGUUUUGUCGGCACCUCACCUUGGCAUAAAAUAUUUGCAUUGUGAAUAUUAGUUAUUUUGAUAAGGUCCUUAAAGGCAGCAUCUCUGUCAUAACUUGGUAUUCUCCCGUACUACUAAGCAUCUCACUUUGUUAGGAAACAGUACUUUAAAAAAAAAAAAAGGAAACAGUACUUUGGUGUAUUUGUGACUGAAAUCAAUAAAUAAUAGAUGAUAUUCA